This 1483-nucleotide ribosomal RNA is filed under the name Enterococcus faecium. Its description in RNAcentral is "bacterial SSU rRNA". It matches the Rfam family "Bacterial small subunit ribosomal RNA". Lineage: Bacteria; Bacillati; Bacillota; Bacilli; Lactobacillales; Enterococcaceae. The record is from RNAcentral.
GACGAACGCUGGCGGCGUGCCUAAUACAUGCAAGUCGUACGCUUCUUUUUUCACCGGAGCUUGCUCCACCGGAAAAAGAAGAGUGGCGAACGGGCGAGUAACACGUGGGUAACCUGCCCAUCAGAAGGGGAUAACACUUGGAAACAGGUGCUAAUACCGUAUAACAAUCGAAACCGCAUGGUUUUGAUUUGAAAGGCGCUUUCGGGUGUCGCUGAUGGAUGGACCCGCGGUGCAUUAGCUAGUUGGUGAGGUAACGGCUCACCAAGGCCACGAUGCAUAGCCGACCUGAGAGGGUGAUCGGCCACAUUGGGACUGAGACACGGCCCAAACUCCUACGGGAGGCAGCAGUAGGGAAUCUUCGGCAAUGGACGAAAGUCUGACCGAGCAACGCCGCGUGAGUGAAGAAGGUUUUCGGAUCGUAAAACUCUGUUGUUAGAGAAGAACAAGGAUGAGAGUAACUGUUCAUCCCUUGACGGUAUCUAACCAGAAAGCCACGGCUAACUACGUGCCAGCAGCCGCGGUAAUACGUAGGUGGCAAGCGUUGUCCGGAUUUAUUGGGCGUAAAGCGAGCGCAGGCGGUUUCUUAAGUCUGAUGUGAAAGCCCCCGGCUCAACCGGGGAGGGUCAUUGGAAACUGGGAGACUUGAGUGCAGAAGAGGAGAGUGGAAUUCCAUGUGUAGCGGUGAAAUGCGUAGAUAUAUGGAGGAACACCAGUGGCGAAGGCGGCUCUCUGGUCUGUAACUGACGCUGAGGCUCGAAAGCGUGGGGAGCAAACAGGAUUAGAUACCCUGGUAGUCCACGCCGUAAACGAUGAGUGCUAAGUGUUGGAGGGUUUCCGCCCUUCAGUGCUGCAGCUAACGCAUUAAGCACUCCGCCUGGGGAGUACGACCGCAAGGUUGAAACUCAAAGGAAUUGACGGGGGCCCGCACAAGCGGUGGAGCAUGUGGUUUAAUUCGAAGCAACGCGAAGAACCUUACCAGGUCUUGACAUCCUUUGACCACUCUAGAGAUAGAGCUUCCCCUUCGGGGGCAAAGUGACAGGUGGUGCAUGGUUGUCGUCAGCUCGUGUCGUGAGAUGUUGGGUUAAGUCCCGCAACGAGCGCAACCCUUAUUGUUAGUUGCCACCAUUCAGUAGGGCACUCUAGCAAGACUGCCGGUGACAAACCGGAGGAAGGUGGGGAUGACGUCAAAUCAUCAUGCCCCUUAUGACCUGGGCUACACACGUGCUACAAUGGGAAGUACAACGUGUUGCGAAGUCGCGAGGCUAAGCUAAUCUCUUAAAGCUUCUCUCAGUUCGGAUUGCAGGCUGCAACUCGCCUGCAUGAAGCCGGAAUCGCUAGUAAUCGCGGAUCAGCACGCCGCGGUGAAUACGUUCCCGGGCCUUGUACACACCGCCCGUCACACCACGAGAGUUUGUAACACCCGAAGUCGGUGAGGUAACCUUUUUGGAGCCAGCCGCCUAAGGUGGGAUAGAUGAUUGGGGUG